GAUGAACGCUGGCGGCGUGCCUAAUACAUGCAAGUCGAGCGAACGGACGAGAAGCUUGCUUCUCUGAUGUUAGCGGCGGACGGGUGAGUAACACGUGGAUAACCUACCUAUAAGACUGGGAUAACUUCGGGAAACCGUAGCUAAUACCGGAUAAUAUUUUGAACCGCAUGGUUCAAAAGUGAAAGACGGUCUUGCUGUCACUUAUAGAUGGAUCCGCGCUGCAUUAGCUAGUUGGUAAGGUAACGGCUUACCAAGGCAACGAUGCAUAGCCGACCUGAGAGGGUGAUCGGCCACACUGGAACUGAGACACGGUCCAGACUCCUACGGGAGGCAGCAGUAGGGAAUCGUCCGCAAUGGGCGAAAGCCUGACGGAGCAACGCCGCGUGAGUGAUGAAGGUCUUCGGAUCGUAAAACUCUGUUAUGAGGGAAGAACAUAUGUGUAAGUAACUGUGCACAGCGUGACGGUACCGAAUCAGAAAGCCACGGCUAACUACGUG
This 497-nucleotide ribosomal RNA is filed under the name uncultured bacterium. Its description in RNAcentral is "partial 16S ribosomal RNA". It matches the Rfam family "Bacterial small subunit ribosomal RNA", at positions 28 to 507 of the family's 1533-position model. The record is from RNAcentral.